Molecule: ribosomal RNA, 1323 nt
Filed under: Lactobacillus sp. 2011_Ileo_VSA_C5
Lineage: Bacteria; Bacillati; Bacillota; Bacilli; Lactobacillales; Lactobacillaceae
Description: bacterial SSU rRNA
Rfam family: Bacterial small subunit ribosomal RNA
Source: RNAcentral
UCGGNAACGAGUGGCGGACGGGUGAGUAACACGUAGGUAACCUGCCCAGAAGCGGGGGACAACAUUUGGAAACAGAUGCUAAUACCGCAUAACAGCGUUGUUCGCAUGAACAACGCUUAAAAGAUGGCUUCUCGCUAUCACUUCUGGAUGGACCUGCGGUGCAUUAGCUUGUUGGUGGGGUAACGGCCUACCAAGGCGAUGAUGCAUAGCCGAGUUGAGAGACUGAUCGGCCACAAUGGGACUGAGACACGGCCCAUACUCCUACGGGAGGCAGCAGUAGGGAAUCUUCCACAAUGGGCGCAAGCCUGAUGGAGCAACACCGCGUGAGUGAAGAAGGGUUUCGGCUCGUAAAGCUCUGUUGUUAAAGAAGAACACGUAUGAGAGUAACUGUUCAUACGUUGACGGUAUUUAACCAGAAAGUCACGGCUAACUACGUGCCAGCAGCCGCGGUAAUACGUAGGUGGCAAGCGUUAUCCGGAUUUAUUGGGCGUAAAGAGAGUGCAGGCGGUUUUCUAAGUCUGAUGUGAAAGCCUUCGGCUUAACCGGAGAAGUGCAUCGGAAACUGGAUAACUUGAGUGCAGAAGAGGGUAGUGGAACUCCAUGUGUAGCGGUGGAAUGCGUAGAUAUAUGGAAGAACACCAGUGGCGAAGGCGGCUACCUGGUCUGCAACUGACGCUGAGACUCGAAAGCAUGGGUAGCGAACAGGAUUAGAUACCCUGGUAGUCCAUGCCGUAAACGAUGAGUGCUAGGUGUUGGAGGGUUUCCGCCCUUCAGUGCCGGAGCUAACGCAUUAAGCACUCCGCCUGGGGAGUACGACCGCAAGGUUGAAACUCAAAGGAAUUGACGGGGGCCCGCACAAGCGGUGGAGCAUGUGGUUUAAUUCGAAGCUACGCGAAGAACCUUACCAGGUCUUGACAUCUUGCGCCAACCCUAGAGAUAGGGCGUUUCCUUCGGGAACGCAAUGACAGGUGGUGCAUGGUCGUCGUCAGCUCGUGUCGUGAGAUGUUGGGUUAAGUCCCGCAACGAGCGCAACCCUUGUUACUAGUUGCCAGCAUUAAGUUGGGCACUCUAGUGAGACUGCCGGUGACAAACCGGAGGAAGGUGGGGACGACGUCAGAUCAUCAUGCCCCUUAUGACCUGGGCUACACACGUGCUACAAUGGACGGUACAACGAGUCGCGAACUCGCGAGGGCAAGCAAAUCUCUUAAAACCGUUCUCAGUUCGGACUGCAGGCUGCAACUCGCCUGCACGAAGUCGGAAUCGCUAGUAAUCGCGGAUCAGCAUGCCGCGGUGAAUACGUUCCCGGGCCUUGUACACACCGCC